GGAAUUUUGGACAAUGGGCGCAAGCCUGAUCCAGCAAUGCCGCGUGAGUGAAGAAGGCCUUCGGGUUGUAAAGCUCUUUUGUCAGGGAAGAAACGGGUCUUUCUAAUACAGAGGCCUAAUGACGGUACCUGAAGAAUAAGCACCGGCUAACUACGUGCCAGCAGCCGCGGUAAUACGUAGGGUGCAAGCGUUAAUCGGAAUUACUGGGCGUAAAGCGUGCGCAGGCGGUUUUGUAAGACUGUCGUGAAAUCCCCGGGCUCAACCUGGGAAUGGCGAUGGUGACUGCAAGGCUAGAGUUUGGCAGAGGGGGGUAGAAUUCCACGUGUAGCAGUGAAAUGCGUAGAUAUGUGGAGGAACACCGAUGGCGAAGGCAGCCCCCUGGGUCAAAACUGACGCUCAUGCACGAAAGCGUGGGGAGCAAACAGGAUUAGAUACCCGGG
RNAcentral lists this ribosomal RNA (440 nucleotides) under uncultured Duganella sp. RNAcentral's name for it is "bacterial SSU rRNA". It matches the Rfam family "Bacterial small subunit ribosomal RNA", at positions 358 to 790 of the family's 1533-position model. Lineage: Bacteria; Pseudomonadati; Pseudomonadota; Betaproteobacteria; Burkholderiales; Oxalobacteraceae. The record is from RNAcentral.